This 253-nucleotide ribosomal RNA is filed under the name uncultured bacterium. RNAcentral's name for it is "partial 16S ribosomal RNA". It matches the Rfam family "Bacterial small subunit ribosomal RNA", at positions 524 to 776 of the family's 1533-position model. The record is from RNAcentral.
GACGAACCGUGCGAACGUUGUCCGGAUUUAUUGGGCGUAAAGAGCGUGUAGGCGGCCAGUCAGGUCCGUUGUGAAAACUCGAGGCUCAACCUCGAGACGCCGAUGGAAACCGACUGGCUAGAGUCCGGAAGAGGAGAGUGGAAUUCUCGGUGUAGCGGUGAAAUGCGCAGAUAUCGGGAAGAACACCCGUGGCUAAGGCGGCUCUCUAGUACGGUACUGACGCUGAGACGCGAAAGCGUGGGGAGCGAACAGG